Molecule: RNA transcript, 2663 nt
Organism: Mauremys mutica (yellowpond turtle)
Lineage: Eukaryota; Metazoa; Chordata; Testudines; Geoemydidae
Gene: GUK1
Gene name: guanylate kinase 1
Exons: 9
Source: RefSeq, a predicted model, not a curated record
AGCAACGCUACGUCUCCAGCGGCUUGGCUCACGUGGGAGACGCGGGGGGUUCCCCAGCGCGGGGUGCCGGCCCCGGCUUCUCCCAUGAGUUGGCGGCGCCUCUGCAGCGCGGCGGUGGCGGCCAUGACGGGACCAAGACCGGUAGUUCUGAGUGGCCCAUCGGGUGCAGGAAAGAGCACUUUGUUAAAAAUGCUGCUUAAAGACUACGGCAAUGUCUUCGGCUUCAGUGUCUCUCAUACGACAAGGCAACCAAGAGUCGGAGAAGUGAAUGGCAAAGAGUACCACUUUGUGACCAGAGAACAAAUGCAGAAAGAAAUUGAUGCUGGCGAAUUCAUUGAGCAUGCGGAGUUCUCUGGAAACAUGUAUGGAACAAGUAAAGCUGCAGUGCAGGCCGUGCAGGCACGGAACCAGAUCUGCGUCCUGGAUAUCGACUUGCAGGGCGUCAAGAACAUUAAGAAAACUGACCUGAAGCCGAUCUACAUCUCUGUCCAGGCGCCGUCCAUAGAAGUCUUGGAAAAGAGACUGCGUGACAGACGGACGGAGUCCGAAGAGAGUCUACAGAAGCGGCUGAACGCAGCUCGCGUAGACAUGGAACUUAGUCCUUACGUGGCCCCCAUCAGGGUAGUGUCCGAGUGCCUCACAAUCUUUAAUGUAUUUAUCCUCUCAACACCCCUGUGAGGUAGGGAAGAGAUGCUAUCCCCAUGUGACAGAUGGGAGAACUGAGGCAUAGAGAGGUAAUGAACCAGGCCUUUUUGACCUGAUCAUCAUCAAUAAUGAUCUACAAAAAGCCUAUUCUGAACUGAAGGAGAUUCUUGCAGAGGAAAUCCAGAAGGUCCAAGAAUCCAAGAAGUCCUGAGUUCAGUCUGCUUAGCCGCCAUUCCUAACGUGCUUCACAGCAUUCUGUUCCAAGAGAGACAUUCCCUUUAGCCUGAUCCCUUUCCGAGUUACUAUGACAUUUAUAGUAAAAAAAAACAAAAAGCAAAAACAACUUUAUAUUUAUAUUAGCUGGGGCUUCUGCCACUUUGUGUGCACACACUAAAGCAUCCAGUGCUCUUCUAGGCUUGCAUGGAGAUUUCAGGCAGAUAAUCUGAAAGUCCCUGUACUGUAUUUCCUGAAUUAUUCUGAAUUCAUUUGUAUAGCCUGAUCAUACAUACAGCCCAUGCUGGCACAAUCAGUGCAUGUAGCGAGUGAAACUGUAAGCAGUAGUCUUCUCCAUAGCAUUUUUGGUGGAUGCUCCCUUCCCACCCCUGGGUUGCCUGCACCAGAUGCCACCUGCAGAGGGAAACUGCUUAGUAUGACCUGACUUGACUUUCCCCCUGCAGACAAAUGGGUUAAAGUGUACAGUGGCAUCAGCUGGCCUGAAGUGACCAACUGAGAGAAGAGAUGCAAUUGAAAAGGAAAGAGAUGGGCUGAAAACAAACUCAGAGAGAGGACGGUGCUAAUGCUGGUAAACACCCCCCCCCCCCCCCCCGCAAUGUUCCACUAAGCAUUGAAAGCUCCCGCUCUUUCCCUUUUGUCCUCCCGUUAGGCCAGUGGCUGGAGCCACUGCUCCUUUAGGUGGUUGACUGACAUUCUCAGCGAGUCUCUCUGCUUGAUCUCGAUGCUGCUGCUGGCUAGGGCUCCUUUCAGCAGGGCUUGGGUUGCUCCAAACCUCAGUCCUCGUGCCCAGGACCUAGUCAGGUGAACUGCUGGGGUUGCUUGAAAAAAUUGGAGACCCGCUUAAUCUACCAAGAAAUAAAAUCAUGUCCUGACUUCUUCUGGCUCAAAAGAGUUCCUAGGAGAGCAGUUGUUCAGCGCUUGCCUGCCCUGAAAGACUGUGGGGUGUGGUCAUAUAUGUUGUUCAGAAUAAAUGCAGCAGUGGAAAGGUUUGGGUGUUCCCAAAUUCAACUCUUUGGGGAAUUUCUUUCCAGGUUGUGCAGCACUUUUAUUCCUGGAAGAAAAGUAAAGUGCCCCCUUUUAAUGUCAGAAUGGUUUCUGAGACCUCUCUGCCUUUGAAACUUCAGGGUUUCCCUUCAAAUUGAACAUCCUAGAACCAGCUUAAUUCUGAAAGAGCCAAACCAUUUUACACCUUUUCUCCUUGAUGGUUUUCCAAAACGAAGAGUCGUGGUUGCACCUACCAUUCCCCAGAUUAUCCCCCUUCUCCGCUACUGCCUUCACCCAUACGGUGAAUGGUAGAACAGUAACGUUCUUUUAAUGUCCAUUUCCUCACAAAAAUUGCAUGUGAUCUGACAGCAAUCUUCAAAGCUGAAGCUUGGCUCAGCCUCAUUUCCGGGAGGUUGUUCAUUAAUUCCAAUGUUUUCCCUCUCAGGCUCAUCCCAACAUGGAUUGGGGUGGAAUUUUAAAUGGCACGUGGCACCAAAAUAAUUAGCAAUAUCAUCUGUGCUGGGCCCUAACAACUCAAACUGUUAAGAGGAACAAUGAGGACUGAAAUCCUGCUUUCCUGUCAUUGCCCUGAGCCUGCAGUCAGAAGAGCUCUGCGUCUUAACUGAGUGAUCUCUGUAUUCCAGAAGAACUGUGUGUGUCUUAGGAGGGGAAUUUCUCAGUUAUGAAAUAAUGCAGCAUGGAGGGUUCGGGAUAGUGGGGUGGUGGUAAAAACACACAAACCCUGACUACCCUAAUGCUCCUAUGAAUGGUGAAUUAAAGGUUUUGUUUUUUUACUUUUA